Molecule: ribosomal RNA, 748 nt
Filed under: Pseudomonas monteilii
Lineage: Bacteria; Pseudomonadati; Pseudomonadota; Gammaproteobacteria; Pseudomonadales; Pseudomonadaceae
Description: bacterial SSU rRNA
Rfam family: Bacterial small subunit ribosomal RNA
Source: RNAcentral
CCAUGAGGGGACGAAUACAGUCGAGCGGAUGACGGGAGCUUGCUCCUUGAUUAGCGGCGGACGGGUGAGUAAUGCCUAGGAAUCUGCCUGGUAGUGGGGGACAACGUUUCGAAAGGAACGCUAAUACCGCAUACGUCCUACGGGAGAAAGCAGGGGACCUUCGGGCCUUGCGCUAUCAGAUGAGCCUAGGUCGGAUUAGCUAGUUGGUGGGGUAAUGGCUCACCAAGGCGACGAUCCGUAACUGGUCUGAGAGGAUGAUCAGUCACACUGGAACUGAGACACGGUCCAGACUCCUACGGGAGGCAGCAGUGGGGAAUAUUGGACAAUGGGCGAAAGCCUGAUCCAGCCAUGCCGCGUGUGUGAAGAAGGUCUUCGGAUUGUAAAGCACUUUAAGUUGGGAGGAAGGGCAGUAAGUUAAUACCUUGCUGUUUUGACGUUACCGACAGAAUAAGCACCGGCUAACUCUGUGCCAGCAGCCGCGGUAAUACAGAGGGUGCAAGCGUUAAUCGGAAUUACUGGGCGUAAAGCGCGCGUAGGUGGUUCGUUAAGUUGGAUGUGAAAGCCCCGGGCUCAACCUGGGAACUGCAUCCAAAACUGGCGAGCUAGAGUACGGUAGAGGGUGGUGGAAUUUCCUGUGUAGCGGUGAAAUGCGUAGAUAUAGGAAGGAACACCAGUGGCGAAGGCGACCACCUGGACUGAUACUGACACUGAGGUGCGAAAGCGUGGGGAGCAAACAGGAUUAGAUACC